Molecule: long non-coding RNA, 779 nt
Organism: Crotalus tigris (Tiger rattlesnake)
Lineage: Eukaryota; Metazoa; Chordata; Lepidosauria; Squamata; Viperidae
Exons: 3
Source: RefSeq, a predicted model, not a curated record
ACAAACCUUGAGAUUGGAAAUCCAGCUCCUAACUCAAUACUCUUUUUGCACAGACUCAGUAGCCCUUUCUUCUCAUUGGAUGACUGAGUUAUCACAUGACUCUUCCUGUUCAUGAAUAUUCCAACAGAGGACCAGGUUCAUAUAAACCAGUGUGGCCUGUCAGACAACAGAUAUGAUUCCUCAGAUUACCAAAACCAAUGCUUUGAUUCCAGGGAUGAUACUUUUCCUGUCAAAGUUAUGAUAUAUGCCAUCUGUCACGUUAUCUUCAUAAACAUUAUUAGUCUAGGCUUACUACCAGUAGAAUCUAUCAGACUUUGCAUUACUUAAGAAAUUAUUUUAUUACCAGAUGUGACCAGCUUCUAAACUCCACAUGUUUGCUGUAUAAUUUUUAGCAGCUUCCAGAGAACCUUCUUCUGUGCCAUCAAACUUGGGAAGAAAUCCAUGAAGCCUCUGCCAUUUUAUUAUUAGUUUAAAAUUCUUAUCUUCAGAGUAUUAUAGGCUGAAAGGUUUAAGCUAUAGCUUUUUAACCAAUUUGCCAUACAAUAUUUUAAAAACUGUUAAAAUGUUUUUUAUGUCACUUUAUUCAUUGUAGCAUUCAACACUGGAAGGUUUAGCAGAAGGAAAGCUUCCUCACCUUCAGAAUACUUUAUAGCCUAUGUUUAAGCCACUGAUUGAUCAAUCAAUCUGAAUGUCCAUUUUUUAAACUGCCAUUUGUCCAUUCUUAUGCAAAUAUAUGUGAUUAUGGUGGAAAUUUUGCUUUGAAUUGCUGGACUUUUCGU